This 1417-nucleotide ribosomal RNA is filed under the name metagenome. RNAcentral describes it as "bacterial LSU rRNA". It matches the Rfam family "Bacterial large subunit ribosomal RNA", at positions 1429 to 2925 of the family's 2925-position model. The record is from RNAcentral.
GUAGAGAUUCCGUCACCACCAAAAGAGUUAAACACAGGGACACAUAUGAAGUCUCGGAGCCGGGUGUUGGUUCCGGUAGCGAUCGAGGGAAAUUAGUACCGAAGUCCGGGAUGGAAGAUGGCGAGAAAAGCUGUGUGUAUUUCUGCGGUGCCCGUACCGCAAACCGACACAGGUAGGUAGGAAGAAGAUUCUAAGGCCAACGGGAGAAGGGUUGUUAAGGAACUCGGCAAAUUGACCCCGUAACUUCGGGAGAAGGGGUGCUGCAGCAAUGCAGCCGCAGAGAAUCGGCCCAAGCAACUGUUUUCCAAAAACACAGGUUUGUGCUAAAUCGAAAGAUGACGUAUACGAGCUGACGCCUGCCCGGUGCUGGAAGGUUAAGAGGAGAUGUGCAAGCAUUGAAUCGAAGCCCCAGUGAACGGCGGCCGUAACAAUAACGGUCCUAAGGUAGCGAAAUUCCUUGUCAGGUAAGUUCUGACCCGCAUGAAAGGCGUAAUGAUUUGGGCACUGUCUCAACAGCCCGCCCGGCGAAAUUGUAGUACCGGUGAAGAUGCCGGUUACCCGCGACAAGACGGAAAGACCCCAUGGAGCUUUACUGUAGCCUAAUAUUGGGUUUCGAUGUUGCAUGCACAGGAUAGAUGGGACACUGGGAAGCAGGUGCUUUGGCGCUUGUGGAGUGGCCGUUGGGAUACCAUCCUUGCGAUAUUGGAAUUCUAACCUGCGCCUUUGAAUCAAGGCGGGGGACAUUGUUAGGUGGGCAGUUUGACUGGGGCGGUCGCCUCCUAAAGAGUAACGGAGGCGUUCAAAGGUUCGCUCAGCUUGAACGGAAAUCAAGCAAAAGAGUGCAAACGCAGAAGCGAGCCUAACUGCGAGACUGACGGGUCGAGCAGUAACGAAAGUUGGAGUUAGUGAUCCGGUGGUAUGUGAGUGGAAAUGCCAUCGCUCAACGGAUAAAAGUUACCCUGGGGAUAACAGGCUGAUCUCCCCCAAGAGUCCACAUCGACGGGGAGGUUUGGCACCUGGAUGUCGGCUCAUCGCAUCCUGGGGCUGUAUUCGGUCCCAAGGGUUUGGCUGUUCGCCAAUUAAAGCGGUACGCGAGCUGGGUUCAGAACGUCGUGAGACAGUUCGGUCCCUAUCUGUCGUGGGCGCAGGAUAUUUGAUGGGAGCUGUUCCUAGUACGAGAGGACCGGAGCGGACGUACCUCUGGCGCACCAGUUGUUCUGCCAAGAGCAUAGCUGGGCAACUAUGUACGGAUCGGAUAAACGCUGAAAGCAUCUAAGCGUGAAGCCGACCCAAAGAUAAGAUAUCCCAUUGUUUCAAACAAGUAAGACCCCUUGAAGACUACAAGGUUGAUAGGCACGAUGUGUAAGUGGAGCGAUCCAUUCAGCAAGUGUGUACUAAUAGGUCGAGGGCUUGACCU